GACGAACGCUGGCGGCGUGCUUAACACAUGCAAGUCGAACGGAAAGGCCCUGCUUUUGUGGGGUGCUCGAGUGGCGAACGGGUGAGUAACACGUGAGUAACCUGCCCUUGACUUUGGGAUAACUUCAGGAAACUGGGGCUAAUACCGGAUAGGAGCUCCUGCUGCAUGGUGGGGGUUGGAAAGUUUCGGCGGUUGGGGAUGGACUCGCGGCUUAUCAGCUUGUUGGUGGGGUAGUGGCUUACCAAGGCUUUGACGGGUAGCCGGCCUGAGAGGGUGACCGGCCACAUUGGGACUGAGAUACGGCCCAGACUCCUACGGGAGGCAGCAGUGGGGAAGAUUGCACAAUGGGCGGAAGCCUGAUGCAGCAACGCCGCGUGCGGGAUGACGGCCUUCGGGUUGUAAGCCGCUUUCGCCUGUGACGAAGCGUGAGUGACGGUAAUGGGUAAAGAAGCACCGGCUAACUACGUG
RNAcentral lists this ribosomal RNA (468 nucleotides) under uncultured bacterium. Its description in RNAcentral is "partial 16S ribosomal RNA". It matches the Rfam family "Bacterial small subunit ribosomal RNA", at positions 28 to 507 of the family's 1533-position model. The record is from RNAcentral.